RNAcentral lists this ribosomal RNA (497 nucleotides) under uncultured bacterium. Its description in RNAcentral is "partial 16S ribosomal RNA". It matches the Rfam family "Bacterial small subunit ribosomal RNA", at positions 28 to 507 of the family's 1533-position model. The record is from RNAcentral.
GAUGAACGCUGGCGGCGUGCCUAAUACAUGCAAGUCGAGCGAACAGACGAGGAGCUUGCUCCUCUGACGUUAGCGGCGGACGUGUGAGUAACACGUGGAUAACCUACCUAUAAGACUGGGAUAACUUCGGGAAACCGGAUCUAAUACCGGAUAAUAUAUUGAACCGCAUGGUUCAAUAGUGAAAGACGGUUUUGCUGUCUCUUCUAGAUGGAUCCGCGCCGCAUUAGCUAGUUGGUAAGGUAACGGCUUACCAAGGCAACGAUGCGUAGCCGACCUGAGAGGGGGGUCGGCGACACUGGAACUGAGACACGGUCCAGACUCCUACGGGAGGCAGCAGUAGGGAAUCUUCCGCAAUGGGCGAAAGCCUGACGGAGCAACGCCGCGUGAGUGAUGAAGGUCUUCGGAUCGUAAAACUCUGUUAUUAGGGAAGAACAAAUGUAUAAGUAACUAUGCACGUCUUGACGGUACCUAAUCAGAAAGCCACGGCUAACUACGUG